UGCGCAGGCGGCGGCGGUAGCUCGUCAGGCUCAUAACCUGAAGGUCGCAGGUUCAAAUCCUGCCCCCGCAACCA
This 74-nucleotide transfer RNA is filed under the name Azospirillum brasilense. RNAcentral's name for it is "tRNA-Met". The stretch from base 11 to 70 matches the Rfam family "tRNA". From Rfam's summary of the family: Transfer RNA (tRNA) molecules are approximately 80 nucleotides in length. Their secondary structure includes four short double-helical elements and three loops (D, anti-codon, and T loops). Further hydrogen bonds mediate the characteristic L-shaped molecular structure. tRNAs have two regions of fundamental functional importance: the anti-codon, which is responsible for specific mRNA codon recognition, and the 3' end, to which the tRNAs corresponding amino acid is attached (by aminoacyl-tRNA synthetases). tRNAs cope with the degeneracy of the genetic code in two manners: having more than one tRNA (with a specific anti-codon) for a particular amino acid; and 'wobble' base-pairing, i.e. permitting non-standard base-pairing at the 3rd anti-codon position. The record is from RNAcentral. Lineage: Bacteria; Pseudomonadati; Pseudomonadota; Alphaproteobacteria; Rhodospirillales; Azospirillaceae.